GAGAUAUGCACUAGCACAUGGCUCCUUGCACCAGAACCAAAGGAUCCUGGUACACCUAAAUAUCAAGCUGCUUUGUUAGUUAAGAUUAAAACAAAAGCCUGAAGCCACCAUCUGGUAAAAUAGUUUUGACUUUAUGAUGCUUGAUCUGACGUGACGCCACACCAGUGAACAAGUUCACUACAUCACCUAUCUCCAUG
Long non-coding RNA from Alligator sinensis (Chinese alligator), 197 nucleotides. RefSeq lists it as uncharacterized. The transcript is spliced from 3 exons. Lineage: Eukaryota; Metazoa; Chordata; Crocodylia; Alligatoridae. The record is from RefSeq and is a predicted model, not a curated record.